ACGGAGGGUGCGAGCGUUGUCCGGAAUCACUGGGCGUAAAGGGCGCGUAGGUGGCACGGUAGGCGUGUGGUGAAAGCUCGGGGCUCAACCCCGAGUCGGCCAUGCGAACUGCUGCGCUUGAGCACUGUAGAGGCAGACGGAAUUCCGGGUGUAGCGGUGGAAUGCGUAGAGAUCCGGAAGAACACCGGUGGCGAAGGCGGUCUGCUGGGCAGUAGC
Molecule: ribosomal RNA, 216 nt
Filed under: uncultured prokaryote
Description: partial 16S ribosomal RNA
Rfam family: Bacterial small subunit ribosomal RNA
Source: RNAcentral